AUGAGCUCUCAUGCGUGUUCUCCAGAAGAUGUGCAGCACCAGCAGGUGACCCAGUCCUCCAUCCUCCUCCGGCUUCAGGAGGCCACCAAACCGUCUCCAGCGGACAGCGAGAGCUGGAGUUCUGGACCGUCACAUGUAGAGCGUGAAGACAGCGGGUCACUCGUCCUCUCCGGGGGUCAAGAGUCUGAGUUCGGCACGAAAACCCGUCUGUGCUGCACAUCGAGGGCAGUUCUGAUCGGGAUCAAACAUUUGUCAUCACCUCCAGCUACAGUGAAGAGAUCCAGCGCUGGAGGAGGAGCAGGAGCAGCUGGACACAGAGGAGCAGCUCCGAGGAGGAGAGCGACCGCUGCGGUGUGUCCCGUCAGUACUGCACACACACACACACACACACACACACACACUCACACACACUCUACACGCUCACAAACACACACACACACACACACACACUACACACUCACAAACACACAAACACACACUCUACACACACACACACUCUCUACACGCACACACUCACACUCAUGCACACACACACAGACUGACUUUGUUUACCUUCAUAAUCCCAGACUAAAAAAGUGCACUUCCACUUCUCUGUUUUUAAAAAAUGUAUUUAGUCACCACUUGAGUGUACUAGUGUAUGAAAGAUGCUUUCAAGUGUACUACAAGUGCUAACUAAAUAUAUAUUUUAAACACAGAGAUGGUAUGUUAAAAGCACAUUUACUUCAUAUUCAUGGUGUCCCAAAAUAGCACAGUUGAAUACACUUAGAUUAGACUUAGAAUAUUUUAUGUAUAUUAAGAACAAAAUUACUAUGUGAAAACUUCAAUUAUAGUGUACUUGUUUUUUACCUCAAUUUCAUGUCGUCUAAAGUCUUUAUUUCUAGAUAUAGUCGGGAGUUCAUGCCUCAAUGUUCCUCUGACAGUAACUACAGAAUUUGAUUGUAGAAUUCAUGAUACGAUAUCUAAAUGAGCUUUUAUUCAUAACUUAAAACGUUAAUCAGAGUUUGAUAUUAACCCACAAAUGAAAAUAGUCAUUGAUUAUUUCCCCUAAAGACCUGUAUUGUAGAAUAUUGGAAGCCAAACUUUGACGGUAUAGAUAGUAUUUCUUCAGUACAGUGGGAGUGAAUGGGUACCAUCAAGUGUUCAGCUACACAUCAUUCAGAACGUGUAGUCUAUUGUUCAGCAGAAGACAGACGCUCGUCCAGGUUUGGAGCAGUGUCUCUUCAGUGAGAUUAGUCCUGUCUGACUUCACCAGAUCGAGUCCUGAACGGUGUGUGUGUGUGUGUGUGUGAGUGUGAUUCAGUUUGAGCAGUGUUUUGUCUCUCUGUAGCUGAUGUGAUGUGUGUGUGUGUUCCUCAGAGAGUAAGAUGUGUGUGUCCUGCCGCACGAGGAAGACUCCUCUCUGGAGAGACGCUGAGGACGGGACGCCGCUAUGUAACGCCUGUGGCAUCAGGUGCGCCGACCUCUGACCUCUGACCUCUGAACACUGCUCAUGUUUUAGAUCUGUGUGUUUUUACAUGUCAAAAGUCUGACCUUUCCAACACUCUUCAUGUUAGUUAGAGGUUUAUGGACAGUAAGUGUUGUUCUGAAUGGGGCUGAUCUAGUUGUGCUCCGGUGGUUUGGGCAGGUAUAAGAAGUACCGCGUGCGCUGUCAGCGGUGCUGGAACAUCCCCAAGAAGGACACAAACACACACUCCUCGCGUCAGAGAUGCGGCGAGGUCCUGAAGCUGAAGCGCAGCAGCUGCUAGACACUCAUGAGCUCCGGGACUGAUCGCUGCGGUUCACUCUUCACUUACUUAAUUUACACAUUUACUGCUGAAAAUAUUUAUUGAUUUGUCACAGUGUCUCUGAUUUGUGUUUGCGGCUGUGUUUGUGUUCAGAGGUUUUCUGUGCUGGAAUGAAAUAUUAAAUUAUAUAUAUAGUCCCCUGAUGUUGCAGGAUUAUUACAUGGAUGCUUUAUUAUACGGUGUAUGCAGAUGAAUGUGUGAAUCAGUGUUUGUGUGUGUGAGUGAGAUCAGAUCAUUGAACAGGCUUCAGUUCCUGCUUCUCUGAGCCUCAUUUGUUCAGCUCAGACGUUCUGCUGUAAUUGUGACAAUAAUUGACUCAAUUUGAGAGAAGUGAAGCUUUUUGUUGAUUUCCCGAAGGCUCCAGAGCCAGACGCUGGAGGUUUAGUCACUGGUUGGGUGAUUAUGUUGAGAAUCUGAUGAUCGUGAGGAUUGUUUGAGUUCUGAGGAGUGUGUAGAAGCUGUGACUGAUCGUGUUUGCGGUGAUGUUUCUGUCUCAUGGUCUGUGGCUUCUCUGUUGAGAUUAGGAUUUAGUUGUGAUUAGAAAAUGUAGAAAUUAGACAAAUGACAUUUCAGGGUCUUUAUGUUCACUCCCAAAACC
Long non-coding RNA from Carassius auratus (goldfish), 2382 nucleotides. Lineage: Eukaryota; Metazoa; Chordata; Actinopteri; Cypriniformes; Cyprinidae. The record is from Ensembl.